AUUCAUGUUCUGGCUUUUGCCAGCACUCAUCAGCUGGCUCACUGGAGCUGUCAGGCCAGGGAGAGGCAGCAAGCAGCCCAACUCCUAAUUGGGAAGGGUCGAGGGGACUGAGGAAAUAGCAGCAAAAAAGCUGGAGAAUGAGGGGGAAAAUGAAUGAGCUCGUAAGCACAGCGACAAGUGAAGGAUAUCGUCAAAGAUUCUUGGGCAAAGUUAGCCUCAGUUGUAACUCCGCAGGCUUUGUGAAAUUUUGGGUGUGAUGAGCUGAGAGGACUUCAUAUGUUCCAGGAAACAACUGAGCUAACCACCCUGUUGUGAUUUUGUGAUGCACAGUCUGGAAAAAUACAUGUCUUUCAACUAAGAUGGAAAAGAAUCAGUGAGCUGCAGCCCAGCGAUGGAGAGCAAUCCUGUAUGACAAAUCACCAUGCACUCCAAGUAAUGGAGGGGAAAGAAGGAGAAGAGAAUGAGCUUUGUUUUGAAGCUUCCAGCAGGUAGCUAUGUACCAGAUCUGAUUUGUACCUGCAAGUGCAUCUGUGUGGUUCAAAAUUUGGGUGUGUGAACUAAUAACCAUGUAUUUAGAGGCCUUGCUAAGUUCUUUUCUGAAAAAUAAGUCUAUAAAGGCUGCAUAUAAGAAAGUUAUAUCUCCCCACAGUCAGACUGUGAGCAACGUUGCCAUUUGUUCUCAGAGGAUACUGUCUUUUUAAUAAAACAACAUGAUUUAA
This is a long non-coding RNA of Dromaius novaehollandiae (emu), 719 nucleotides long. RefSeq lists it as uncharacterized. Lineage: Eukaryota; Metazoa; Chordata; Aves; Casuariiformes; Dromaiidae. The transcript has 3 exons. The record is from RefSeq and is a predicted model, not a curated record.